GUGGGCGUCGCCGCCGACUUACCAACAACCGGGUCGGGGGCUCCCGGAAGUGCUCUUGCGGCUUACUGCCUGGCACAGGUGGGGCAGAGCGAGCCAGGCGAAGGGCGCCUGCGCAGGACAUGCUGGACAAAUGCGUUGUUCUUGCUGCCUGCUGCUGCGGGAGGAGGCCUUAUGGGGGAAGGUCGCGAAGUGACUGGGAUUUUUUUUCUCAUUUGUCAUUUAGUGGGCUCCGUGGCUUAAGACUUGAACCAAGUAAACGAAGUUCUCUUACUGAGAAAUCUCAGUUUCAACUGUCAUUCUUCUCUACAGAAGAGCUUCUCCUCAUCAACUGGGGAUGAUUACAGUUCUUCCUUAAAAAGUGAUAAACUCCAGGCUGUGAGGGCAGAGGCAGGAAGAGCAGUCGGGAAGCUGUUAUUGUGAUGCGGUUUUACUGUGAUGCAGUUGAGCGGCGCAGCGGUUGGGAA
RNAcentral lists this long non-coding RNA (464 nucleotides) under Pan troglodytes (chimpanzee). RNAcentral's name for it is "long non-coding RNA NONPTRT004432". Lineage: Eukaryota; Metazoa; Chordata; Mammalia; Primates; Hominidae. The record is from RNAcentral.